CCAGCACCCCGAGUGGUCGGGACGAUUAUUGGGCCUAAAGCAUCCGUAGCCGGUACUGCAAGUCUUCCGUUAAAUCCACCUGCUCAACAGUUGGGCUGCGGGGGAUACUACAGCGCUAGGAGGCGGGAGAGGCAAGCGGUACUUAAUGGGUAGGGGUAAAAUCCACUGAUCCAUUGAAGACCACCAGUGGCGAAGGCGGCUUGCCAGAACGCGCUCGACGGUGAGGGAUGAAAGCUGGGGGAGCAAACCGGAUUAGAUACCCGGGUAGUCCCAGCUGUAAACGAUGCAGACUCGGUGAUGGGCUGGCCUUGUGCCAACCCAGUGCCGCAGGGAAGCCGUUAAGUCUGCCGCCUGGGGAUACGGUCGCAAGACUG
RNAcentral lists this ribosomal RNA (374 nucleotides) under uncultured organism. RNAcentral describes it as "bacterial SSU rRNA". It matches the Rfam family "Archaeal small subunit ribosomal RNA", at positions 476 to 851 of the family's 1478-position model. The record is from RNAcentral.